RNAcentral lists this long non-coding RNA (981 nucleotides) under Homo sapiens (human). RNAcentral's name for it is "HSALNT0100752". The record is from RNAcentral. Lineage: Eukaryota; Metazoa; Chordata; Mammalia; Primates; Hominidae.
GCACACAAUUGUUGGCACCCCACGCUGCUUACCCCAGUUCAUUCACUCCAUACAAACGCUCCUUGGGUCUAGGGGUGUGCUCAUCCUGGGCCAGUCUGCCAUUGGGAGGACAGGCCCAGGAGGAGGCCCACUUUGGUCUUGGAAGAGGGCUGGAGGCCAGGCGGACAGGGACUUCUAGCAUCCUGGUCACCUGGAAUGUGGUCUAGCAGGAGAGUCACUGACUGCAGAUGGGCAUAUCUUCUUGGCCCUGAAGACUCCUGUUCCAUAGGAACUGAUAGUGAAGGUGCUCAGUGUUUGUUGAAUGCAUAAAUGACCAAUGGAAAGAAGGAAGAAAAAAGAAGGAAGGAAGGAAGGAAUGAAGGAAGAAAGGAAGGACCAGAGAGAGGAACAAGACCCUCUGCUGAGCCAGCAGGAAAAGACCCGAGAUCACAAUGACGUGAUUUAUAUUGAUCCCUAGUUAGUCAUCAGGAAUGUCUGAGUGAAGAAUGGAAAACAAAGGGAUGCUUGAGUUUACAAUGCCCGAGUGUCCCUCGUGGAGGGAGUGCUGCCUCUGGAUCCAGGAUCAGCAGCUGUGGAAACAUCUCCCUUUUGCAGAGGGUACAAAUCAGCUCACAGCCUGCAGAACAGAAACUGACAGCGCGUCAGAGACCUGCAUGACAGUCCUGGCUUCCACUCUGGCCUCUCAGUUUCCUCAUAUGUUCAGUGAGUUCAUCAUCCUUCUCACACAAUAAAGAUGAAGACCAACACCACCUGACAUUCGUUGAGUAUUUACUAGGGGCCAGGUGUUCUACUAAGUGUUUCCAAUUCAUAUUCUCAUUGAACCUCCACAACUACUCGAUGAAGAAGGCAUAAUCUCUGUCCCCAUUUUAUAGAUGAAGAAAGUGAAGUCUAGACAUAACUUACCUGCCCAAUGUCACACAGCUGGGAGUUUGCCAAAUUAAGAUCCAAAUCAUGAUUUUUUUUAAAUUCGUUGCAAUAAUC